Molecule: non-coding RNA, 225 nt
Filed under: Pontibacillus litoralis
Lineage: Bacteria; Bacillati; Bacillota; Bacilli; Caryophanales; Bacillaceae
Description: T-box sequence
Rfam family: T-box leader
About the family: Uncharged tRNA acts as the effector for transcription antitermination of genes in the T-box leader family. T-boxes are found upstream of many aminoacyl-tRNA synthetase genes and some amino acid biosynthetic genes usually in Gram-positive bacteria.
Source: RNAcentral
CGAAACGCGAUGAUAGGAAAUAGUAACAAUGUUUCUUUCUCCAGAGAGCUGGUGGUUGGUGUGAACCAGUGAAGGAAGUUGUGAAUCCAUCCUAGAGCUGAUAUGCUGAAUGUUAAGUAAGUGUAUCCGGUGUUUUGCGCCGUUAUUCAUCAACAGAGCCGGGAGAUAAGCAUGUUUAUUUCCAAGUAGGGUGGCAUCGCGGGAAAUACAACUCUCGUCCCUUUU